CAUAGCAUGCACUCCACAAUCCACAUUCUUAUUUCCCCACCACUCUCGUGGCUUAUUUGGGAAGUUGGAACCCUAUUUUUACCUACUUUCUUUCACUUUUUUCAGUUGUGCUCUGAUUUCACUCCUGCACGAUACGAAUACUCUUUUGUUGCAAUAAAAUUUCGAUAAACUUAAUUUGUACCAAUUGUAUAAGGGGAACGGCUUGGUGCUUUUAUAAAAAUAUUAGAAUCUAUCGCAAUUAAAAAGCUUUAAUGGUUUAUCAAUAAAUUAAUUAGUACAACAAACUUAAAUUUUACUUCAGUUGAUUUAUAAUAAUAAUUUUUUAAAAAAUA
This 332-nucleotide long non-coding RNA is filed under the name Durio zibethinus. RNAcentral's name for it is "long non-coding RNA (DZIB_LNC000698)". The record is from RNAcentral. Lineage: Eukaryota; Viridiplantae; Streptophyta; Magnoliopsida; Malvales; Malvaceae.